UACGUAGGGGGCAAGCGUUGUCCGGAAUCAUUGGGCGUAAAGCGCGUGUAGGCGGCUCGAUAAGUCUGCUGUGAAAGUCCAGGGCUCAACCCUGGAAGGCCGGUGGAAACUGUCGGGCUAGAGUCCGGAAGAGGCGAGUGGAAUUCCCGGUGUAGCGGUGAAAUGCGCAGAUAUCGGGAGGAACACCAAUGGCGAAGGCAGCUCGCUGGGACGGUACUGACGCUGAGACGCGAAAGCGUGGGGAGCAAACAGG
This 253-nucleotide ribosomal RNA is filed under the name uncultured bacterium. Its description in RNAcentral is "partial 16S ribosomal RNA". It matches the Rfam family "Bacterial small subunit ribosomal RNA", at positions 524 to 776 of the family's 1533-position model. The record is from RNAcentral.